AACGGUAACAGGAAGCAGCUUGCUGCUUCGCUGACGAGUGGCGGACGGGUGAGUAAUGUCUGGGAAACUGCCUGAUGGAGGGGGAUAACUACUGGAAACGGUGGCUAAUACCGCAUAACGUCGCAAGACCAAAGAGGGGGACCUUCGGGCCUCUUGCCAUCAGAUGUGCCCAGAUGGGAUUAGCUAGUUGGUGAGGUAACGGCUCACCAAGGCGACGAUCCCUAGCUGGUCUGAGAGGAUGACCAGCCACACUGGAACUGAGACACGGUCCAGACUCCUACGGGAGGCAGCAGUGGGGAAUAUUGCACAAUGGGCGCAAGCCUGAUGCAGCCAUGCCGCGUGUAUGAAGAAGGCCUUCGGGUUGUAAAGUACUUUCAGCGGGGAGG
This 386-nucleotide ribosomal RNA is filed under the name Salmonella enterica subsp. enterica. RNAcentral's name for it is "bacterial SSU rRNA". It matches the Rfam family "Bacterial small subunit ribosomal RNA", at positions 65 to 447 of the family's 1533-position model. Lineage: Bacteria; Pseudomonadati; Pseudomonadota; Gammaproteobacteria; Enterobacterales; Enterobacteriaceae. The record is from RNAcentral. RNAcentral also lists the same sequence under 1 other name.